Molecule: ribosomal RNA, 305 nt
Filed under: uncultured bacterium
Lineage: Bacteria
Description: bacterial SSU rRNA
Rfam family: Bacterial small subunit ribosomal RNA
Source: RNAcentral
ACCUACGGGAGGCAGCAGUGGGGAAUAUUGCACAAUGGGGGAAACCCUGAUGCAGCAACGCCGCGUGAGUGAAGAAGUAUUUCGGUAUGUAAAGCUCUAUCAGCAGGGAAGAAGAAAGACGGUACCUGAGUAAGAAGCCCCGGCUAACUACGUGCCAGCAGCCGCGGUAAUACGUAGGGGGCAAGCGUUAUCCGGAUUUACUGGGUGUAAAGGGAGCGUAGACGGCAGUGCAAGUCUGGAGUGAAAGGCGGGGGCUCAACCCCCGGACUGCUCUGGAAACUGUACGGCUGGAGUGCAGGGGAGGG